UAUAAACAGUGGGUCUCGUUUUCUUAGGAACAUCCAAGACAGACAUAUUUGGUACGCCGGUCAAAGAUAGCAUCGACAGAUAAAUUCGACAUGGAAACACUAAUUGCCAAUACAAGCAACGGAAAAGGUAUUGCACCUGAUCCAGCUGGUUGGAACAUAUCCAUGUCUGUGGAAGGAUUCCGAGCGGCAGUAUAAAAACCACGAAAUACGCCACCAGGCUUGGCGAGAAAUUGGGGCAGCGCUAGACGAAAAACCAGAGGACGCCCAGGAAAAAUGGAAAAACCUGAUGAACACCUACAGACGCACCAAAAAAGAAAUUGCACGAAGCCAAACAACCAGCUCCACACACUUUCCCGCUCCAGGAAGUUAUCGG
Molecule: long non-coding RNA, 373 nt
Organism: Anopheles arabiensis
Lineage: Eukaryota; Metazoa; Arthropoda; Insecta; Diptera; Culicidae
Exons: 3
Source: RefSeq, a predicted model, not a curated record